RNAcentral lists this unclassified non-coding RNA (251 nucleotides) under Nectriaceae sp. RNAcentral's name for it is "partial contains 5.8S ribosomal RNA, internal transcribed spacer 2, and large subunit ribosomal RNA". Lineage: Eukaryota; Fungi; Ascomycota; Sordariomycetes; Hypocreales; Nectriaceae. The record is from RNAcentral.
CGCACAUUGCGCCCACCAGUAUUCUGGUGGGCAUGCCUGUUCGAGCGUCAUUUCAACCCUCAAGCCCCCGGGCUUGGUGUUGGGGAUCGGCCGCCCCCCGGCGCGCCGGCCCCGAAAUCUAGUGGCGGUCUCGCUGUAGCUUCCUCUGCGUAGUAAUACACCUCGCACCGGAACGCGGUAGGACCACGCCGUUAAACCCCCCACUUCUGAAGGUUGACCUCGGAUCAGGUAGGAAUACCCGCUGAACUUAA